Molecule: long non-coding RNA, 501 nt
Organism: Ostrea edulis (European flat oyster)
Lineage: Eukaryota; Metazoa; Mollusca; Bivalvia; Ostreida; Ostreidae
Exons: 2
Source: RefSeq, a predicted model, not a curated record
UUUGUUUUAUUAAGGUCUUCCGUAGCAACGGAAGACCUUCUACUUAUUGUGCUGGUUAAGAUUAUUCUUAUUAUUCUUUUUUUUUUUUUCCUAGACGCUAACUUUAAAGCUUCAUAUCUCGCUCAUUCCUCAACCGAUUUUGCUCAAAUUUUCAGCUUUAAUACAUUUUACUAAAGACUUUCAAAAUACUUUUAAACAUUUUGGAUAUUCUCUUCCACUUGCGAGUUAUUUCCCUUUUAGUGAAAUUUUAGGGGCUUUGGUUUCCAGAUAAAGGCUCCGAGACUAUAAUAAUUGGAGCAGAGAAAACACUGAAUUGGUAAAGUAGAAGCAUUGUAGUUGUGCACAUCAUAUUUUGUUUUUUGAUUUCGCCAUUUAAAAUGGCGAUAUAGAGGGGUCAAAAAUCAGGACGCCUGAAAGAGCGAAAAUUUGCACAUAAUUUCCUUUGUAUCUUUUAAACUAAAAAUAUUUUGUUAAGACAUGUAGAAUAAAAGUUGUGUAGAA